AGGCUUUUACCACCAUUGGAGAGGACUUGGAGCUUUGAUAGAGGCUUGUUGGAGGAAAGAUCUUCCACCCCAUUUGAUUUGGAGCCCAAGUUGAGACUUCUAGAGAGGUUAGCAACAUGAUUUGAGCUUUUGUUCCAUGNUUGUGUACCGGUACACAAACCCGUGUACCGGUACACAGUGCAGGUUGGGGCUAUUACGUGGAGGGGUGUUUUUGCAAUUGUUGCAACACCUAUAUAAGUGACCCCAGCCCCCUUAGACAGGGUUUUGAGCCCUAGUCUGUGGAGACAAGGUGAGACUCUCCCCCUUUGAGUUUUCUUUCCAUUUUUGAUGGAUUUUGGUAGGUUUUGAUCUCUCCUCCUUGCUUUUCUUGCUUCUUAUUGGGUUUCCUCCAUGAGAGAAGCCUUGAGCUCGGGGUUGGAGCUUUGUGGAGGGAGGAUCUUCAACCCCAUUUGGAUUGGAGCCUAGUUUGGAGCUUCUAGAGAGGUUAUGUAACACACUGGACCUUUGUAAAUUGUGAGGUUUGAGUGAUUGGCUGUGUUCUGAGGUUUUCCAGAUUUUUCUGGUGGGUCGUUGACUGUGUUCCGACCUAUGGCACGUGUCCCGAGAUUUGUGGUACAAAGCCUUGCACCAAAAAUCCGAAAAAACGGGAUUUGGCUGACUCUCAGAUUGAGUUCUGGCGGGCUUGUACCGGUACAAGGUUGUGCUUGUACCGGUACAAAGUUGAUGGUUGUACCGGUACAGCCAUCGGAGCUUGUACCGGUACACAGCCGCAGAGCCCAGCGACCCGAGCCUCGGGUUUGGAUUUCGUGGGCCUUAUACCGGUACAAGGGCCCGUGUACUGGUACAAGGCGGCAGAUUUUGAGCAGUUCGAAACUGCAGGGGCUUUUUCGCGAUUGUAGCCUCUCUAUAACAGCACCCUCGCCCCUUAGGGCUUUUCUUGUGCUGGAACCACAGGGAAACAAGGUGAGGAGCCCAUCCAUUCCCUCCUUUUGAUUUUCCUUGGUUUUAUUGGAGAUUUUUGAGGAUUAAUGCCUCAUUUUGCUUCUUGUUGCAUCUUGGAGGCUUUUACCACCAUUGGAGAGGACUUGGAGCUUUGAUAGAGGCUUGUUGGAGGAAAGAUCUUCCACCCCAUUUGAUUUGGAGCCCAAGUUGAGACUUCUAGAGAGGUUAGCAACAUGAUUUGAGCUUUUGUUCCAUGUUUUGCUAAGUUUUUGAGAUGGAAUCUUAGAUUUGAUACUUAGGGUUUGAUUUUGGGCAUUUUAAAUCUAGG
This 1270-nucleotide long non-coding RNA is filed under the name Ananas comosus (pineapple). Its description in RNAcentral is "long non-coding RNA (ACOM_LNC026658)". The record is from RNAcentral. Lineage: Eukaryota; Viridiplantae; Streptophyta; Magnoliopsida; Poales; Bromeliaceae.